RNAcentral lists this ribosomal RNA (1101 nucleotides) under human metagenome. RNAcentral describes it as "bacterial LSU rRNA". It matches the Rfam family "Bacterial large subunit ribosomal RNA", at positions 1835 to 2925 of the family's 2925-position model. The record is from RNAcentral.
AAUGGGACGUAUAGGUGGUGACACCUGCCCGGUACCGGAAGGUUAAGGGGAGGGGUAAGCCGAAAGGCGAAGCUCCGAACCGAAGCCCCGGCAAACGGCGGCCGUAACUAUAACGGUCCUAAGGUAGCGAAAUUCCUUGUCGGGUAAGUUCCGACCCGCACGAAUGGUGUAACGAUUCUGGGCGCUGUCUCAACGCGGGACUCGGUGAAACUUAUAUUCCGGUAAAGAAGCCGGAUACCCGUAAUUAGACGGAAAGACCCCGUGAACCUUCACCGCAGCUUAUCACUGGGAUUCUAUCCGCCAUGUGUAGGAUAGCCGGGAGGCACUGAAGCGUGCGCGUCAGCGUGCGUGGAGCCGCUGGUGAAAUACCGGCCCUGGCGGAUGGGAUUUCUAACUCCGGUCCGUGAAGCCGGAAGGGGGACAGUGAUUGGCGGGCGGUUUGACUGGGGCGGUCGCCUCCUAAAGGGUAACGGAGGCGCGCGAAGGUCUCCUCGCGGUGGUUGGAAAUCAUCGUACGAGUGUAAAGGCACAAGGAGGCUUGACUGCGAGUGAGACAUCACGAGCAGGUGCGAAAGCAGGUCUUAGUGAUCUGGCGGCGGCAAGUGGAAGCGCCGUCACUUAACGGACAAAAGGUACUCCGGGGAUAACAGGCUGAUUUUCCCCAAGAGUUCACAUCGACGGGAAAGUUUGGCACCUCGAUGUCGGCUCAUCGCAUCCUGGGGCUGGAGCAGGUCCCAAGGGUUUGGCUGUUCGCCAAUUAAAGCGGUACGUGAGCUGGGUUCAGAACGUCGCGAGACAGUUCGGUCCCUAUCUGUUACGGGCGGAGGAUGUUUGAGAGGAGCUGCUUUUAGUACGAGAGGACCGAAGCGGACGAACCUCUGGUAUACCGGUUAUCCUGCCAAGGGUAAGUGCCGGGUGGCUACGUUCGGAAGGGAUAACCGCUGAAAGCAUCUAAGCGGGAAGCCCGCCUCAAGAUGAGACAUCCCUGAGGGUAUAACCCUCCUAAAGACCCCGGAGACACUAUCCGGUUGAUAGGCUGCAGGUGCAGGCACGGCGACGUGCACAGCCGAGCAGUACUAAUAGGUCGUGAGGCUUGACCAU